UACGGAGGGUGCGAGCGUUGUCCGGAAUCACUGGGCGUAAAGGGCGCGUAGGCGGCGCGGGCAGUCAACGGUGAAAGCUUGGGGCUCAACCCCGAGUCGGCCGUCGAUACUCCCGGGCUGGAGCACUGUAGAGGCAGGUGGAAUUCCGGGUGUAGCGGUGGAAUGCGUAGAGAUCCGGAAGAACACCAGUGGCGAAGGCGGCCCGCUGGGCAGUGGCUGACGCUGAAGCGCGACAGCGUGGGGAGCAAACAGG
RNAcentral lists this ribosomal RNA (253 nucleotides) under uncultured bacterium. Its description in RNAcentral is "partial 16S ribosomal RNA". It matches the Rfam family "Bacterial small subunit ribosomal RNA", at positions 524 to 776 of the family's 1533-position model. The record is from RNAcentral.